This 46-nucleotide non-coding RNA is filed under the name Trichobilharzia regenti. Lineage: Eukaryota; Metazoa; Platyhelminthes; Trematoda; Strigeidida; Schistosomatidae. The record is from RNAcentral.
GUUCUGCUGAAGAGUCCCACACUAGAAUGAAACAACUGUCCAGUAC